GUAGUCCAUGCCUUAAACGAUGCAUACUAGGUGUAAGAGGGAUCAACCCCCCUUGUACCGGAGCUAACGCAUUAAGUAUGCCGCCUGGGGAGUACGCUCGCAAGGGUGAAACUCAAAAGAAUUGACGGGGGCCCGCACAAGCAGUGGAGCAUGUGGUUUAAUUCGAUGCAACGCGAAGAACCUUACCUGGGCUCGAAAUAUAGAGGACGACAUCAGAGAUGAUGUUUCUCGCAAGGGUCUUUAUAUAGGUGCUGCAUGGCUGUCGUCAGCUCGUGCCGUGAGGUGUUUGGUUAAGUCCAGCAACGAGCGCAACCCUUAUCGUUAGUUGCCAACACGUAAUGGUGGGAACUCUAACGAGACUGCCUGGGUUAACCAGGA
This 378-nucleotide ribosomal RNA is filed under the name uncultured bacterium. Its description in RNAcentral is "bacterial SSU rRNA". It matches the Rfam family "Bacterial small subunit ribosomal RNA", at positions 790 to 1167 of the family's 1533-position model. The record is from RNAcentral.